ACUCCUACGGGAGGCAGCAGUGGGGAAUAUUGCACAAUGGGCGCAAGCCUGAUGCAGCCAUGCCGCGUGUGUGAAGAAGGCCUUCGGGUUGUAAAGCACUUUCAGUUGUGAGGAAGGUGGUGUCGUUAAUAGCGGCAUCAUUUGACGUUAGCAACAGAAGAAGCACCGGCUAACUCCGUGCCAGCAGCCGCGGUAAUACGGAGGGUGCGAGCGUUAAUCGGAAUUACUGGGCGUAAAGCGCAUGCAGGUGGUUUGUUAAGUCAGAUGUGAAAGCCCGGGGCUCAACCUCGGAACUGCAUUUGAAACUGGCAGACUAGAGUACUGUAGAGGGGGGUAGAAUUUCAGGUGUAGCGGUGAAAUGCGUAGAGAUCUGAAGGAAUACCGGUGGCGAAGGCGGCCCCCUGGACAGAUACUGACACUCAGAUGCGAAAGCUGGGGAGCAAACAGGAUUAGAUACCCUGGUAGCACAGAG
RNAcentral lists this ribosomal RNA (472 nucleotides) under uncultured bacterium. RNAcentral describes it as "bacterial SSU rRNA". It matches the Rfam family "Bacterial small subunit ribosomal RNA", at positions 335 to 799 of the family's 1533-position model. The record is from RNAcentral.